UACACAUGCAAGUCGAGCGGAUGAAGGGAGCUUGCUCCUGGAUUCAGCGGCGGACGGGUGAGUAAUGCCUAGGAAUCUGCCUGGUAGUGGGGGAUAACGUCCGGAAACGGGCGCUAAUACCGCAUACGUCCUGAGGGAGAAAGUGGGGGAUCUUCGGACCUCACGCUAUCAGAUGAGCCUAGGUCGGAUUAGCUAGUUGGUGGGGUAAAGGCCUACCAAGGCGACGAUCCGUAACUGGUCUGAGAGGAUGAUCAGUCACACUGGAACUGAGACACGGUCCAGACUCCUACGGGAGGCAGCAGUGGGGAAUAUUGGACAAUGGGCGAAAGCCUGAUCCAGCCAUGCCGCGUGUGUGAAGAAGGUCUUCGGAUUGUAAAGCACUUUAAGUUGGGAGGAAGGGCAGUAAGUUAAUACCUUGCUGUUUUGACGUUACCAACAGAAUAAGCACCGGCUAACUUCGUGCCAGCAGCCGCGGUAAUACGAAGGGUGCAAGCGUUAAUCGGAAUUACUGGGCGUAAAGCGCGCGUAGGUGGUUCAGCAAGUUGGAUGUGAAAUCCCCGGGCUCAACCUGGGAACUGCAUCCAAAACUACUGAGCUAGAGUACGGUAGAGGGUGGUGGAAUUUCCUGUGUAGCGUUGAAAUGCAUAGAUGUAGUGAAGGAACGCCUGUGCCUAUGGCGACCACUUGCGACUGAUACUGUGACUGAUGUGCGAUAGCGAGCGUGUCAUGCCAGGAUGCGAUAUCCUUGUCGGCUCACAUGGCGUUAAGCAAUGGGCACGAGCCUGUGGGGAUCCUUCCAGCAUCCUAGCUGCCAGCACCUAACCUCGCAUCGUCGACUCGUCUUGGGGGAGGCCGGUCACCUCGCCCCUUAACUGGCAUGUGUUAUUGGUAUAGUCUGCCACAC
RNAcentral lists this ribosomal RNA (904 nucleotides) under Pseudomonas sp. j20. RNAcentral's name for it is "bacterial SSU rRNA". It matches the Rfam family "Bacterial small subunit ribosomal RNA". Lineage: Bacteria; Pseudomonadati; Pseudomonadota; Gammaproteobacteria; Pseudomonadales; Pseudomonadaceae. The record is from RNAcentral.